Molecule: long non-coding RNA, 133 nt
Organism: Dermochelys coriacea (leatherback sea turtle)
Lineage: Eukaryota; Metazoa; Chordata; Testudines; Dermochelyidae
Exons: 4
Source: RefSeq, a predicted model, not a curated record
AUUUAAUCUAAAUGACAGUCUUCGCACAAGAACAAAUGUGUAUAAACUAACCAUGAACAAAUUUAGACAGGAAAUUAGAAGAUGAUUUCUAACCAUCAGAAGAGUGAAGUUCUGGAACAGACUCCCAAUAGAA